RNAcentral lists this ribosomal RNA (254 nucleotides) under uncultured bacterium. Its description in RNAcentral is "partial 16S ribosomal RNA". It matches the Rfam family "Bacterial small subunit ribosomal RNA", at positions 524 to 776 of the family's 1533-position model. The record is from RNAcentral.
UACGAAGGGGGCUAGCGUUGUUCGGAAUCACUGGGCGUAAAGCGCACGUAGGCGGAUCGUUAAGUCGGGGGUGAAAUCCCGAGGCUCAACCUCGGAACUGCCUUCGAUACUGGCGAUCUUUGAGUCCGGGAGAGGUGAGUGGAACUCCGAGUGUAGAGGUGAAAUUCGUAGAUAUUCGCAAGAACACCAGUGGCGAAGGCGGCUCACUGGCCCGAUACUGACGCUGAGGUGCGAAAGCGUGGGGAGCAAACAGG